Long non-coding RNA from Amblyraja radiata (thorny skate), 154 nucleotides. RefSeq lists it as uncharacterized. The record is from RefSeq and is a predicted model, not a curated record. The transcript is spliced from 3 exons. NCBI's taxonomy places the organism in Eukaryota, Metazoa, Chordata, Chondrichthyes, Rajiformes, Rajidae.
GCCAGCAAAGACUGAUCAAGGAUAGUCUGAUGGUCACCAAAGAGGUAGAUAGUAGUUCAGCAUUGCUCUCUGGUUGUGAUAGGAUGAUUAAUUUGCCUGAUAACAGCUGGGAAGAAACUGCCCCUGAAGCUGGAGGCGUGUGUUUUCACACUUC